RNAcentral lists this ribosomal RNA (404 nucleotides) under Actinomycetes bacterium. Its description in RNAcentral is "Actinobacteria bacterium partial 16S ribosomal RNA". It matches the Rfam family "Bacterial small subunit ribosomal RNA", at positions 355 to 776 of the family's 1533-position model. Lineage: Bacteria; Bacillati; Actinomycetota; Actinomycetes. The record is from RNAcentral.
UGGGGAAUAUUGGACAAUGGGCGCAAGCCUGCUCCAGCCAUGCCGCGUGAGUGAUGAAGGCCCUAGGGUUGUAAAGCUCUUUCACCGGUGAAGAUAAUGACGGUAACCGGAGAAGAAGCCCCGGCUAACUUCGUGCCAGCAGCCGCGGUAAUACGAAGGGGGCUAGCGUUGUUCGGAUUUACUGGGCGUAAAGCGCACGUAGGCGGACUAUUAAGUCAGGGGUGAAAUCCCGGGGCUCAACCCCGGAACUGCCUUUGAUACUGGUAGUCUUGAGUUCGAGAGAGGUGAGUGGAAUUCCGGGUGUAGAGGUGAAAUUCGUAGAUAUUCGGAGAAACACCAGUGGCGAAGGCGGCUCACUGGCUCGAUACUGACGCUGAGGUGCGAAAGCGUGGGGAGCAAACAGG